GAAUGGGCACAUGCGUGCAUCAUCAGAUUAUCAUGUCAGUACUGAAGUUAAGUAUCUCUAGCAUGCUUGCAAUUGCAGAAAAUGUUUUUCCAGGAAUCACAAGAGGAAAUUCCCUAGAUGAGUGAUCCUUAUUUUCAGCAAUAGUAUCAUUUAGCUGCUUAUCUGCAAUGAAGGGAAACAAGCCUUUUUUUCGAAGAUUGGAAUCCAUGUUUGCCUGAGGAUGAAGUUAGGUGCAGAAAUGCAUGCCCAACCCCAGUGGAAUGCACAUUACAGCAACACAUCAGGAAGAAAAAAAGAUACUUUAGGGCCAUCACUGACUUAAGAUUAUUUAUCCGUGUUCUAGAAUGGCUCUCCUGCAAUAUUACUUUCCUGACAAGGACAAGAUUCUUCUUAAAAGAUACUCCUCUCCAUAGCAUAAGUGAGGAGCCCACUGAGAAAAGGUUGAAUGCAAGAAAAGGAAGUACUGGAAAGAUCAAAGAAACAGCACUACAAAACAUAGAAGACUGAAACCAUGACUGUUAAGGCUGGAGAAUCCUCAGAAGGAUCCUGAACUCCACCAUCUCAUGGUAACUACAGGCAAGGCAACCUUCGUCCUUCACACGCCCUUGUGUGUUCAGCCUUCACAUCCCCUUACAAGGUCCAGCAGCACACCUUAUUUGCAAACAAUGCCUGUAUCACCCCCAUUAAGCUGUAAUUUUCAGACCUCUGUGUGGUUCACAGGACUGCAUAGUGAAUACACGUUCAAUAGGAUAUCAAUUGACCAGAGAGAGAUGAAGUGCAUCUUCUGACUACUGUUGCUAGAGUCAUACUGAAAGGAGUUACUCUCUGGGGCUUUUAGUACUCUCUAUGUGAGAGCAGAAGAUCAUUAAUAUUUAAAAGUCACAC
Long non-coding RNA from Corapipo altera (White-ruffed manakin), 885 nucleotides. RefSeq lists it as uncharacterized. The transcript is spliced from 7 exons. The record is from RefSeq and is a predicted model, not a curated record. Lineage: Eukaryota; Metazoa; Chordata; Aves; Passeriformes; Pipridae.